This 4410-nucleotide long non-coding RNA is filed under the name Sparus aurata (gilthead seabream). Its description in RNAcentral is "lncRNA (ENSSAUG00010019429.1)". The record is from RNAcentral. Lineage: Eukaryota; Metazoa; Chordata; Actinopteri; Spariformes; Sparidae.
ACAGCUGAAAUGUUACUCUGUGCUUUAUUUUCCAGGGAACCAGAGACCACCCGGAUGACGACACUAUGCAUCAUGAUGGAGGCAGACAUGACAGCGCGGCGAACUAUGAAAACAUCGGAGGAGCAUCGAGUCUCCGCUGCUGUUAAACAUUUCUUCACAGCAUUACUGUACAUGAGUAAAAUAAAUCUGAAUGAAGUGAAGGUUUUACAUCAGGUCUUGUAUUAAUGUAAUGAUGUGGAGAAAUGUGUUGAGUCACAGCCAGCUAUACAAGUCUUGAUUUUAUAUAGUUUAAGAAGCUUUAUGUACAAUUAGAGCAUUUAGUCUUUCCCGGCAAAACUUUUUUUGCUUUAUGCAGUCAGUGAACACAACCUCUAAAAACUGUCCUUGGAUCCCAUGCACUUCACAGAUUUUUCUAGAUUGCCUAACAUGACCUUAAUGUUAUCACUCUUGAGCUCAUCAGCUUUGAUACUUAAAGAAGUUUUGAAACUGUUACCUAAUGUUUAUAAAGUCAGUUGUAUCAUAUCAUCAUAUCUGAUAACGUGAUGUGCUGAAAAAAGUGUUUAAUGCUCACUUAUAUAUGUGUUAUAACAUGUCAUGCCUGUUUCAAUCAAAGGUGGGAAAUGUUAUCAUGGAUCCAACAUUUUAUACAACUCUUGUUCAGUUUCUUCUCUCACAUGAAUAAAUCCAAAUUUUGGUAGAUUUUUUAGUUGUUUUUUUUAAUAGUCUAUUUAAGAUUCAGACAGAUUAACUGAAAUUGACUGUAUGAACAUGACUCUAAUCAGUGCUACAGAAGCAAACAAUGGCCAUAAUGAUAAAUAUGUUGUAAGAAAAUUCACAUUUAGUACAGAAAUUUGUAACCUGAAUGUUUACCACUGAAAUUUAAGCAUGAUUUAAAGCUCUAUAUUUUUUAUAUGAAGUGGACGGAGAUAACUUUUCAACUCUCCCCCCUCUCAGUGUUGCCCUCUGGUGUUACUGUUUGGCGCCCAUGUUGCAAAGUUGGGUGAAGUUACUUUUAAAGGUAACUCAUUAUGUUAGAGUACUGGCAAACCUUUUGCGCCUCAUUUUGCACGUGGGCUGUAUUGUCCAGACAAUGUGUAGCCAGCUGUACAUGUACCUUAAAUGUACUGACUCUACCGUCAUGUCGUAGCCUUUCUUUACGGCACCACAAUCGAAAAACUCCAAACUCAACAGCCUGAUAAUAGGAGUGACAGACCCAUAUAACAUUUACAGCACUUAACUUUGUUAACAAUCUGACAGCCACAUGAAUGGGUGCAUGCAGUAUUGGGCACAGCUGUUUCUAUGAAAACUAUACAACACAGGUUCUUAUGGCCCAAGUACAUGAUGUUUUAACAUGCAACCAAUGAAACCCGUAAGCUAUGAGUGCACAAAUACCAUAAAAGUGAAUGAGCUUCACAUUCCUACACACAAACUAUAUCAUUUAAUUUAGGCUUUUCAUACACACAGACUCACCCAGCAUACUAAUGUUUGUACUAAUGUACAACUAAUGUUUCAAUGAAAUCUCAUAACUUGAUCAGUGGUUUAUUUUGCUCAGGUGUCAUGGAGCAGGUUGUCUGCAGGUCCUUUAAAUUUUAGAUAAUUUUAUUUAAAUAGUUUUUGAUUUGAAGUUGUGAUGACUUAAUUGCCACAUACAUUUUCUAUCAUUUCAUUUAUUCAUCAUUUAACUUCUUUUUGUUGUUACAUAUUACACAGCAUUAAACCUGCUGAAACUAAUUCUUAAAAAGAAUCGAAGUGACACCGUCUCCAUGACAACUGAGCAAACUCCAUCCACUGAUAAAGGUCAUAAGAUUAAGUGGGGUGCUCUGACUAAAGCGAGACGACCUUGAGUAAAACUUCUAUUUCCAAGGCCAAAAAUGAUGUUGGUUCGUCCAGUGAUAGAAUAAUUACAUUAAUUAUUUAGUUGUAUGUUGUAUGUAUUGUCUUUUACUCUUGAUAGUAUGACUUUCUGCUAGUUUUGUACACUUGUAACCAACUCAGCAUCCUCCACCCUACACUCCCUCACACAUAUGGGAUGCUUGAAAGUGAAAUAACAUGAAAACAGUACAGCGAUAUUAAAGUAAAUACGUAAGAAGAAAUGUUGAUUACAUGGGAGAAAAAACUCCCGGUUUCCUGUAAUGGUUGUAUAACAGAGUAGAAAUAUUGUUUUUUUUUUCUCGAAUUUCCUAUAAACAUAUAACUUCUCUCCUGUUUUAAUGACUUCCAAUCCAGUGAGGAAAUAAAGAUAUCGCAGGAUAAUCUUUCCAAGUCCUACAAUUUUGAAAAGCAGUAAAAAUAAUAUUUUUUUUUACUGUUUUUGACACAUGAAGAUUUUUGCCUGAAAUUCUUUUAGUUUUUUCACGUUUACACGGAUGGCAAAAAAAAAAAAAAAUUAAGGGAGAAUUUUUUUUUUUUUCACCAGAUUGCAAGUCAUAAACACAGGAGACGAAAUAUUUAAGACUAGAAUAACUUGCGUCUUGUGUCUAACUCGGGUCUUCCAUAGGUUGUUGUAAGUUCUGAAGAAGAUUUUUGUUUUCCUACCCAUCUACCCAUCCAUCCUUGCCCCCAGUGAUGGGGGUAAGACGUUAUAAAAAAAAGGCAAGACAGUAUGACUUUACUUACAGCAGUAACAGAGUAAUAUAACACGUAACUAAUAAGAUUUCAUUACGUCAAAUAACCCUUGUCGCCUGUGAUUGAUGAUGUCAUACACCACAUCAAAAUACCAAUUUUCUUUAGAAGUUGCAUGUGAGGCCUUAUUUCCACAUGGCUCUGUGUACGUACACGAGUCAACCACAAGUCCAUUAAUUCUCACAGGAACCUCUGUGAUGUACGAUGUGAUUGUUAAAUACAUUGAAACAAUUCAGUAGAUGUUGGGCAGACCCUGAGCGCUUUGUGCCACAGGAAGUUAGCAUGAAAACAAAUUAGCCAACUGAUUGUAGAACAUAGCACAGCUCUAUUUAUGCAUUUCUGCUACAGGGACAAGUACAACAAACCCAACUCAGAUCAGAGAGGUGCUGCAGUGCUCCGGCUCUCCUGCGUAUCACUUGUAGAAACAAAUUUCUGAUCUGAGAGAACACAGGUGUACUCGAUGAAAUUAAAUCCUCAGGUAAAAUGAACUGCGUCAGGUAAUGUAUCAGGUAAGAUCAACUAUGUGGUAAAUAGUCUGAAACUCGUCGUUUAACCACAGCUUCGUCCUCUGCUGCUGUAUUUUUGCAAAAUCAAACCACUUCAUUGGAUGAGCCUUGUAACAUCACAAUGACUUCCUCAGAAGGAACUGAUGGCUGUAAGUUCUUAAGAAGAUUGCAUAUAAAAUGACACAACACUGCAUUUGGCAACAGAACAUCGUUCUACCCGUCCAGUCAUUGUCAGAAGUGUUCAUGGUAAAAAUUACCAGCUCUUGGAGCUCUUUUAGCAUCUGGUGCACCACAUGUACAAACUCUGUGUCCUCACCGCAGCAGCCUGGAUUCAAUUCCAACCUGUGGCCCUUUGCUGUAUGUCAUCCACUCUCUCUCCCCGCUACCUAAUGCUCUCCGGUCAUAAACAAUGUACUGCUUCUGUCACUCCGCUGAAGAAUUCAGAGCUGAUUUGAAGAUUUCCUGCUUGUUGUUGAAGCUGCAGCAGCUUGAGCUCAGUUUCAUCUCUCUGUGUGCAGAAGAACUCAUUUGAACUCUCUUUCAUUUAGCAUUGUUGUUCAUAUAUUAGUGUGGGUGUUUGAAUGUCUUUUCAGCCUCAGUGGAGUCAGUAACAGUCUUCUCUUUAUUAUAUCUGUUAAUGGUAUCAUCUGCAAAUAAAGACAUCUUCACCACUUCACUCUACUCUGUGUUCUGUGACUCCUUCAUGUACUAACAGUGUCAUGAUGUAAAGUGAAUAUUCUCUACUAUGAAUGUCUUGACUCUACUAGUAGUAAACCUUCCCUCUGGUGGCUUGAACAGCUCUGUUCUCUCUGGACACUAAAAUAUGUCUUAAUACAGAAGGAAAUGCAGCCAAAGUGAGCUGAGAGUGUACAGAAAUCUAAUAACUACUUUACUACUUUAGAAGGUUUGGAUCCACAUGACCACCUACUCUGACCUAAAAUGAUGUCAAUACAUUUCACACAUCUUAAAUGUCCAACUAGUCGUGUCUGCAGUGAGCAUACAGCAUGAACAACCUCCAGACCACAGGUGAAGUGUUGGAACUGUCCAGUUGAGCAGCACAUAUCAUGGAGGCUUGAUGCUCCACGUUGUGACAGUUUUACAUUUACAUUUUGGGCAUAUAGCAGACGCUUUUGUCCAAAGCAACUUACAAUAAGUACAUGUGUCACAAGAAAGAACCCACAACAUAUCAUCAUUGAUAAUCAUAGUCAUACUAUGCAGGGUCGAUGUGAAGUCUGAACCAUUGAGUCUUAAUAUUUUGCGGAAGAUGGCUUGUGACUCUGCU